This 1499-nucleotide ribosomal RNA is filed under the name uncultured Propionibacterium sp. RNAcentral describes it as "partial 16S ribosomal RNA". It matches the Rfam family "Bacterial small subunit ribosomal RNA". The record is from RNAcentral. Lineage: Bacteria; Bacillati; Actinomycetota; Actinomycetes; Propionibacteriales; Propionibacteriaceae.
AUUCGCCCUUAGAGUUUGAUCCUGGCUCAGGACGAACGCCGGCGGCGUGCUUAACACAUGCAAGUCGAACGGAAAGGCCCUGCUUUUGUGGGGUGCUCGAGUGGCGAACGGGUGAGUAACACGUGAGUAACCUGCCCUUGACUUUGGGAUAACUUCAGGAAACUGGGGCUAAUACCGGAUAGGAGCUCCUGCUGCAUGGUGGGGGUUGGAAAGUUUCGGCGGUUGGGGAUGGACUCGCGGCUUAUCAGCUUGUUGGUGGGGUAGUGGCUUACCAAGGCUUUGACGGGUAGCCGGCCUGAGAGGGUGACCGGCCACAUUGGGACUGAGAUACGGCCCAGACUCCUACGGGAGGCAGCAGUGGGGAAUAUUGCACAAUGGGCGGAAGCCUGAUGCAGCAACGCCGCGUGCGGGAUGACGGCCUUCGGGUUGUAAACCGCUUUCGCCUGUGACGAAGCGUGAGUGACGGUAAUGGGUAAAGAAGCACCGGCUAACUACGUGCCAGCAGCCGCGGUGAUACGUAGGGUGCGAGCGUUGUCCGGAUUUAUUGGGCGUAAAGGGCUCGUAGGUGGUUGAUCGCGUCGGAAGUGUAAUCUUGGGGCUUAACCCUGAGCGUGCUUUCGAUACGGGUNNACUNNNGGAAGGUAGGGGAGAAUGGAAUUCCUGGUGGAGCGGUGGAAUGCGCAGAUAUCAGGAGGAACACCAGUGGCGAAGGCGGUUCUCUGGGCCUUUCCUGACGCUGAGGAGCGAAAGCGUGGGGAGCGAACAGGCUUAGAUACCCUGGUAGUCCACGCUGUAAACGGUGGGUACUAGGUGUGGGGUCCAUUCCACGGGUUCCGCGCCGUAGCUAACGCUUUAAGUACCCCGCCUGGGGAGUACGGCCGCAGGGCUAAAACUCAAAGGAAUUGACGGGGACCCCGCACAAGCGGCGGAGCAUGCGGAUUAAUUCGAUGCAACGCGUAGAACCUUACCUGGGUUUGACAUGGAUCGGGAGUGCUCAGAGAUGGGUGUGCCUCUUUUGGGGUCGGUUCACAGGUGGUGCAUGGCUGUCGUCAGCUCGUGUCGUGAGAUGUUGGGUUAAGUCCCGCAACGAGCGCAACCCUUGUUCACUGUUGCCAGCACGUUAUGGUGGGGACUCAGUGGAGACCGCCGGGGUCAACUCGGAGGAAGGUGGGGAUGACGUCAAGUCAUCAUGCCCCUUAUGUCCAGGGCUUCACGCAUGCUACAAUGGCUGGUACAGAGAGUGGCGAGCCUGUGAGGGUGAGCGAAUCUCGGAAAGCCGGUCUCAGUUCGGAUUGGGGUCUGCAACCCGACCUCAUGAAGUCGGAGUCGCUAGUAAUCGCAGAUCAGCAACGCUGCGGUGAAUACGUUCCCGGGGCUUGUACACACCGCCCGUCAAGUCAUGAAAGUUGGUAACACCCGAAGCCGGUGGCCUAACCGUUGUGGGGGAGCCGUCGAAGGUGGGACUGGUGAUUAGGACUAAGUCGUAACAAGGUAACCAA